CUCCCGUCGAAAGCCUAAGGAUUCCUGAGGAAGGCUCGUCCUCUCAGGGUAAGUCGGGACCUAAGCCCAGGCUGAAAAGCGUAAGCGAUGGACAACAGGUUGAGAUUCCUGUACUAUCUUUGAAUGUUUGAGAGAUGUACUGACGCAGGAGGAUAUGUUGAGCGUGUGAAUGGUAGAGCACGUCUAAGCAAGUAGGUAGAGAAUAGAGGUAAAUCCCUAUUCUUAAUAUCGAGAUGCGAUGGGGAGCGAAAAAUAAGUAGUGAAGCAACAGAUUCCAAACUGCCAAGAAAAGGUACUAUUGAGUGAGAAGAUACCCGUACCAAAACCGACACAGGUAGGCAAGGAGAGAAUCCUAAGACGCGCGGAAGAACCUUUGUUAAGGAACUCGGCAAAAUGACCCCGUAACUUCGGGAGAAGGGGUACCAUUAGAUGUGAGAUACUUGCGUAUGGAGCAUAGAGUGGUCGCAGAGAAUAGGCCCAAGCAACUGUUUACCAAAAACACAAGUCUCUGCUAAAUCGAAAGAUGAAGUAUAGGGGCUGACACCUGCCCGGUGCUGGAAGGUUAAGGGGAAAUGUUAGAGCAAUCGAAGCAUAGAACUUAAGCCCCAGUAAACGGCGGCCGUAACUAUAACGGGUAAGUUCCGACCCGCACGAAAGGUGUAAUGAUUUGGGCACUGUCUCAACAAAGGAUCCGGUGAAAUUGUAGUAGUCGUGAAGAUGCGACUUACCCACGAUAGGACGGAAAGACCCCGUGGAGCUUUACUGUAGGCUGGCAUUGGAAUUUGGUAUUAAAUGUACAGGAUAGGUGGGAGACUAAGAAGCGAGAGCGCCAGUUUUCGUGGAGUCAACGUUGGGAUACCACUC
Molecule: ribosomal RNA, 864 nt
Filed under: Rothia sp. (in: high G+C Gram-positive bacteria)
Lineage: Bacteria; Bacillati; Actinomycetota; Actinomycetes; Micrococcales; Micrococcaceae
Description: Rothia sp. (human oral metagenome) partial 23S ribosomal RNA
Rfam family: Bacterial large subunit ribosomal RNA
Source: RNAcentral